RNAcentral lists this ribosomal RNA (464 nucleotides) under uncultured bacterium. RNAcentral's name for it is "partial 16S ribosomal RNA". It matches the Rfam family "Bacterial small subunit ribosomal RNA", at positions 28 to 506 of the family's 1533-position model. The record is from RNAcentral.
GACGAACGCUGGCGGCGUGCUUAACACAUGCAAGUCGAACGGAAAGGCCCCCUUGUGGGGUACUCGAGUGGCGAACGGGUGAGUAACACGUGAGUAACCUACCCUUGACUUUGGGAUAACUUCAGGAAACUGGGGCUAAUACCGGAUAGGAGCUCCUGCUGCAUGGUGGGGGUUGGAAAGUUUCGGCGGUUGGGGAUGGACUCGCGGCUUAUCAGCUUGUUGGUGGGGUAGUGGCUCACCAAGGCUUUGACGGGUAGCCGGCCUGAGAGGGUGACCGGCCACAAGGGAAAGAGGGAACGGCCAAGAUGCGUACGGGGGGGAGGGGGGGGGAAUAUUGCAAAAUGGGCGGAAGCCGGGAGGAGCAACGCCGGGGGGGGGAAGACGGCUUUUGGGUUGUAAACCGUUUUGGCUUGAGAAGAAGCGUGGGUGGGGGAAAUGGGUAAAGAAGCCCCGGCAAACAAGUU